Molecule: long non-coding RNA, 1221 nt
Organism: Arvicola amphibius (Eurasian water vole)
Lineage: Eukaryota; Metazoa; Chordata; Mammalia; Rodentia; Cricetidae
Exons: 2
Source: RefSeq, a predicted model, not a curated record
UACCUGCAGGCAAGAGAAGAGAACAUGGAUGUUUCCAGAAAGAUGGGACUCUAUAUCGUCUUUUUGCUUUGCUCCGUUUCCCACAGUUGAUGGGCAGCCUUGCAGGUAGAGAGUUUGUUUCCUUUUCUAGCUUGCCGCAAGCCCACACAGCAGUGCCCUGGACCAGGCUUAGACUCCUGAGCCAAGGGAGUUCUUGCUGGAGGAUUCCAAGGCCCGUGGAUGUGAGAAAUUGGGAUAACUAUGCAGCUGGCAGAGUCCGGGAUCUCUAAAAACAGAAAGCAAGCAAAGGCACCCGCUUUCUGCUGUGUUCUUUGUUCCACACGCAGUGUGGCCACAGUUCCUGCGGAAGGAGUCCACUGUGGCUGUCACCUGCCUAAGGGUGGCGAGAAAGGGCAGAUAAGCUGGUCUGCUGGUCACCCUAUGUGGGUCAAGAUGGUCCACCAGAAAGAGUAUGCGUCCUAGGCUGGUGACUGUGAUGACCUCCGUGGGGGAUACAUCGUGUCACUUCAAGUUACUGUCAGACUUCCUCUAUGAACCAGGGCUGUGUCUGCAAAAGAUGCUAUUUGCCUUCCAGUUCCAGGAAAUCAGCCAUCUCUCCACAUUGGGAGCACCCUCCCUGUUGUCUCCACUAUCAUGAGGAGAUUGAGGAAUGAGAGGGAAAGUGUGUGGGGGGGUGUCCUUUAGCAUUUGGGCAUGGGGCAUUGGUGACAGGGGUCUGGUUACCUCACAGGAUGAUAUCCUCAUAGUUAUUUAUGUAGUCACCACACGGCGGCUACUGAAGAAGUCAGGGCCAAGUGCCCAUUUGCCAAAUGUACCUUACAUAUUAGUUCAUCCCACUUGCAACAUGCUUCCAUGAACUCCCCAAGAUUGGGAUCUCAGAUAAGCUAGGUUCUCUGUCCUUUUCACUGGCUGGCUUCAUAGCUUAUAUCCCAGGCUCUUAAUAAGCAUGUGAAAUACCCGAGUGAGAACUAUAAAUCUGCUUUCCCAGGCAUAUCAGGAUUCAAGGAAAAAUAGCAAUGUUAGAAUAAUCUCAUUUUAAUGAAUUCUUAGCUUUAUCCCACGAGCUAUACAUAACAAGGAAUUAUCUUUAACCAUCUGUAAGCUUAUGGAUACAAGAUCUUCUUGCUCAAGAUUACUUGUAUUAGUUUGCCAUACAACAACAUAUGGUCAUUUGUUUUUAAAAACCAGAUACAAUAUUCUAGAAAAGAAAAUUGGUUCUCA